This 2151-nucleotide long non-coding RNA is filed under the name Orbicella faveolata. RNAcentral's name for it is "uncharacterized LOC110043042". The record is from RNAcentral. Lineage: Eukaryota; Metazoa; Cnidaria; Anthozoa; Scleractinia; Merulinidae.
AAAACAAAAAAAGAAUACAACAUGACAUGUAUAGAAAAUAUAACUAUUAUUAAUAUAGCAAUGUGUUUUCCUAUUCACUUUAAGGUACUCAGAAAAGAUUAUUUCCUGCAGGGACCAUUGGCGUUCUACCUCGACAUGCAAAGAGUCCUAAGCAAAAUGAAGACCUUUGUGCAAAAUGCCACCAAACCAGUCCUUAUAAGAAGAAGACUUGGUCUAGAAUGUGGAUAAUGUGUGACACAUGUUCACAAUGGUACCGCAAGGAAUGUGCAAAUCUGAAAUCAGUGCCAAAAGAGGACGAGAAGUGGGUGUGCCAAGGAUGUGGAAAGAAAUGAACCCACUUCACAGAACACAACACGUAAAAUACCAGGGUAUUCCUGGCAAGUAAUUGAAAUGACCUUUCUAUAAGAACUUUUAGUGCAACAAAUGAACUUUUAGUGUCUACUGAACCAAAACCUCAAUCAACACUGCAAAUCACAAACAGGAGAUGGACUUCUGACAAUAAUUUAUUGUAAAUUACAAUUCUGAAAUAUGUUUCCCAGAAAAAGUUUUAAGUAGUUAGAGAAUCUCUGGUUAAGCUAGGUCCGGAAAAAUAAAAGUGCAUUUGAAAACAAUGCACACUUCCCAUUUCUAGAUCAUUUUGUUUUUUUCGUGUGCUUAAAAAAUGUCAAUACCUUUUUUUAUUUCCUGCUGCACUUUAUGACUCACACUUUAAGAUUCCAAGGCUGUGCUCUAAUACAAAUUAUUCUAGGGAGCCCAAGGCCCUUACCUUAAAAAUCUGGGGUGUCAACCAAACAAUUAUUCAAAUCAGAUUGUUUUUGCCCAAGGGUAAACAUUAGGCCAGGAUGCACUCAGCACUGCUAGAAUACAGCCUUGUGACAGUGACACUUACAUUCAUAGUUUAUAAUAAUUAUUGUGCUUAAAAUAGUAUGUUGACAAGAUGUUUGAAAAGGACACCUUUUCCAUAUGCCAGCUUGUGUAUUAGAAAUAGCUAAUUAAUUUAGAUAUGCCAUUGUAAUGUUAAUAUUAUUACUCAUUAUUUAUAUAAAGGAAGCCUCCACUCCUACACCAAAUUGACCCUAAGUACAAGUUUACAAAAUGUAGUUAAACAUGGGAACAGCAAUUAAAAUGCACAAAAUAUUGGGGAUCAUUGUUUUUUUUUUCACUGUUAAAUAUCCCGGGUGCUGCCAUUUUUGAUUUUGUAACAUCAGUUGGUUACAGCUAUUAUCAGGAAGCAUAUGACACAGAAAAUCUUGUGUGUUAGACAAUAGCCCUUGAAAUCGUGAUAGAUUUUUUUGACACUUAAAUGUUAUAUCCAUGUUUUAUCUCUAUAAAACAAAAUUUGGAAUCUAAUAAUUAUUUGCAAGAAUGAAGUAUCAAUUUGUUGUAAGAGUGGAGUUUCCCUUCAACAUAAAUUAAGUCAGGCAUUUGUUCACAAAACGUACGUCCCCUCUCGUGUGUGUGUGGGGGGGGAAAUGGAAAUUCAUGAGUUAUCUUCGAAAAACACGCUUUAAAGCUAAUCAAGAAUUUAAAAAAGAUGAUGUAGAUGAUGAACUAGUGUUUUUGUUCCAAUUAUUUAGAUAACUGCUGCUACUUUGUGAAGGUAAAGCAGUGACAAAUCCCACUAUCAUAGUGCUUCCAAAGGGCUUUAAAAUAAACUUCCUUAUAUAUAGAUUAUAUCAAAGGAGUGUAAAGUAAACAAUAUCCACUUGUUUCACUUUCCAAGUAUAGCAAGGAUCCACUUGAAAACUGAGCACCAAAAUAACUUCCUUUUUUUAAAUAAGGAAAUAGAUAAUAUCACCUCAAAAAAAGAAUACUACAAUAAGAAUUCAAUUAUAUGAAAAUAAGAAUUUUUAAUGUUAUGUAGAAUAUACCCUGUGGCACAAAUUUUUUUAUGGUGUAUUGUUUUGUUUUGUAGAAUCAAUUUUUGCGAUUACGACAGCAGGGUUUUGCAUGCUUGCAAUUGUUGCAACUUUCGAAGUCUUCUUCAAAUGGAACACUGUUUUCAUCAGUUUAAAGAACUUCAACAAUGUAUUUCCUACCCCAGGGGCUCAUGCUGAGGUGUAUCAUUUAUGUAUGGCUGAAUUUCAAUGUAUCGAGAUUAGGCUAUUAGCCUAUUUGUCAACAUCACAAGUAAUAAAAGAAUAUUAUCAC